This 756-nucleotide ribosomal RNA is filed under the name Triticum aestivum (bread wheat). RNAcentral describes it as "partial small subunit ribosomal RNA". Lineage: Eukaryota; Viridiplantae; Streptophyta; Magnoliopsida; Poales; Poaceae. The record is from RNAcentral.
AUGGCGCCACCACCACCACCACCAUGUCAACUAUGCAAGUCAAGGUGCGCCAGCAGCCUUGCAACUGGCAAGCUGUUCGACAUCUACUUCCAGCCGAGUUUUCGUCAUGCGGCGACCGUCCCAUGCAAUGUGAGGUUGAAAUUCAACAAGCUGACAGGAGACACUAUGACAUUUGAGGCUCCUGGGGAGCCGUACACUAUGGAGGUCGAGAAAGGACGCAAUAUGUCGCAGAUUGGAGGCGAUGAAUGGGCCCGUUUCCUCGCCCGCAUGCGUCUUACUGGUGAUGAUGAAGAUGAUGAAGACGAUGAAGAUAAUGAGGACCCACUCGAUGAAGAUGAUGAGGACCCACUUCAUGAAGCCAUCGUAGCUCAAAGAAUGAGGCUGAGCGAGGAGGAGGUGCGCAACCUAUGGGACAUAAUUCCGCCACGUGAUGACUUUGUCGGGGUGCCAUUCGUGACCCGCCUGACAAGUACCAUGGUCGAUCGACAUGAUAUGAAAUUGCCAAAGAGCCUAUCUGUGAGUUGUGGUAUCGAGCCUGAUGAAGAAGGCUCAGCUGGACUAUGCCUUACCGCAAGGGGCUCCUUCACCACCUGUACUUACCGCAUGGACACGGACGGUCGCACACACUUAAACUCGGUUGGGUGGAAGAGAUUCCUCGUUGGCAAGAAUCUUCCUGUUGGACAGGCCAUCCUAAUUACUAUCAGGAACACCUGCCGCUCAGGCUUGAGGAUGAUGAUCGUCGUUAAUAUCAUCUAG